GUGGGGAAUAUUGGACAAUGGGGGGAACCCUGAUCCAGCCAUGCCGCGUGUGUGAAGAAGGCCUUUUGGUUGUAAAGCACUUUAAGCGAGGAGGAGGCUACCGAGAUUAAUACUCUUGGAUAGUGGACGUUACUCGCAGAAUAAGCACCGGCUAACUCUGUGCCAGCAGCCGCGGUAAUACAGAGGGUGCAAGCGUUAAUCGGAUUUACUGGGCGUAAAGCGCGCGUAGGUGGCCAAUUAAGUCAAAUGUGAAAUCCCCGAGCUUAACUUGGGAAUUGCAUUCGAUACUGGUUGGCUAGAGUAUGGGAGAGGAUGGUAGAAUGCCAGGUGUAGCGGUGAAAUGCGUAGAGAUCUGGAGGAAUACCGAUGGCGAAGGCAGCCAUCUGGCCUAAUACUGACACUGAGGUGCGAAAGCAUGGGGAGCAAACAGGAUUAGAAACCCGAGUAGUCC
This 451-nucleotide ribosomal RNA is filed under the name uncultured bacterium. Its description in RNAcentral is "partial 16S ribosomal RNA". It matches the Rfam family "Bacterial small subunit ribosomal RNA", at positions 354 to 796 of the family's 1533-position model. The record is from RNAcentral.